RNAcentral lists this transfer RNA (84 nucleotides) under Aspergillus bertholletiae. It matches the Rfam family "tRNA". From Rfam's summary of the family: Transfer RNA (tRNA) molecules are approximately 80 nucleotides in length. Lineage: Eukaryota; Fungi; Ascomycota; Eurotiomycetes; Eurotiales; Aspergillaceae. The record is from Rfam by way of RNAcentral.
GGUUGUGUAGUGUAGUGGUUAUCACUUCAGAUUUUGAUUUCAUAUUAAAUUCUGAUAACCCCGGUUCGAACCCGGGCACGACCU